UAAGCAGCUGAUAGUGGAUGGUAUCAUAUGAUAAACUUGAAAAAGGUACUCGUUGCUUUAUUAAAUACGUAUUUCGAGAACAUGCAAUGGAAAACGAAGGUACUUCACGGACGCAACCCGUGCUUUCUUGACCUAAGGAUGGCCCGCGUCACGAGAAUUAAGUCUGAGGGAGUCCGUAUAGAGUCCCUUCUUUAUUUCGCGGGAAAAUCGUGUUUCUGGAUCACUCGUAAUUAGCAACACUAACGGAACUAACCCUUAAUGACAGGUAAUUACAUCUGCUAAUAGCGUAAGCGGUACUAGAACCUAGUACAGACUCCAGUCUGCUUAGUCCGAGUUUUUUGCGAAAGGGAAAAAAACAGGUUGGUCUUGGCGUGAUAUUAUAUAGCCUCAAUAAAUGGGCUAUCUAACCCCGAAAGAAUUUUUCAAAUCGGACCUGUAGUUCCUGAGAUUAGCACAUUCAACCAAACUCUUGAGCUUUUUAAUAUUAGUAGUAGUAUAGAUUAGAGAGUAAUUAGUUAGCACAAUAAUCCAAUGUCACGAAAUAACAUCUCAGUCGUAUAUAAAAAUAAUAAAUGUGAAAUUAAACCAAAAAAGUUGUUUUAAUUAUAUCUACGAAUCACAGAAACCGAAGAAGAUACUAAAUCAUCAGUUUAUUUACCUCGACUAACAAGACUUGUGGUGUUUUCGUUCCACUGUGUAUUUAUCUUAUUUACCUCUCGCAUUUAUUUGAUAAUAUUAAUCAAUGUGAGGAUAACCUUAUUUUGUAAUCUGUUUGUGAUCAUAUACUUGAAGUUCAAAUAAAAUAAACCGAUAGCCGCGUACAUUCGCGUAUAAAAUAAACUGAAUAAAAACUGAACUACGCUGGCAAGAAUUUCUGGAAAUUUUUAAUUUAAGGGUUUUUUUAAUAAGUUAUUUUUAAUUUAAGGUAUUUUUCAUUCACUAGUAUACAUCGUUGGAACAACGGCAACCGUAAGUUCCAGCGGACUCAUAACAUCUUCACCCUUUGCUAGAAGUAAUAGGGUUCUGUGUCUUCUCCGUAGACAGUAGAACAACGCAGGUUUAUUAUUAGAACCUUUGCGCUUGUAAUGACUUAUUUUUUAUUAUACACAGAAAUCAGUGGCGUAAAUAAAGGGUGGCAGGGCUGACAGAAUGGCACGGACCUCAAAGCAACGUAACAUCUAUACAAAUAUGUAAAUAAAAUUGAAGUGUCUGUUUGUAAUAUUAAGUUUUUUACUAUAUGCAGAUGAACGGGACAUAUACCAAAAUAACUUUUUUCCAAUUUUUGUCUGUCUAUCUGUUUGUUCCGGCUAAUCUCUGGAACGGCUAGAACGGGCGAUUUUUAUGGGACUUUCACUGGCAGAAAUCUUAUGUAAUGAAGAGUAACUUAGGCUACUUCUAUUCUAGAAAAAAUCUAAAAUUAUUAUAAGAUGUAAUGUUUUGUUAAAUUCCACGCGGACAAAGUCUCGGGCAUAGCUAGUAUUUAAUAAAAUUUAAUUAAUAAUUACUAAUUAUAAAUCUUAAACAUAUUUUAUUUAUUUAUUUAACCCAUGCUUUUGAAAUUAAGUUUAUUAGAUAUUUAACUAAAUGCACACAGUAUUGAUAAUACUGUCGGGUAACUCCUUCAAUGAGACGUUUAAAAUAACAAGACGAUUUUGACUGGGGCCCCAUCCAAUGAAUUUGUAUGUGAAUUUGUAUUUGUAUGUAUUAAGAGCAAACUAUAUUAAACAGUUCAUAAUGCGAAAUACGUUAAUGUCACCGGUCAUCGUUCUCGUCGAACCCGUCGCUUGCGACGAAGGGCUCGGUGAGAAAAUUAACCCACAGAGACAGUCCACUGAGUUUUUCGCCGGGUCUGUAGGUCGCGUUUCCGAUCCGGUGGUAGAUUCUGCGAAGCACUGCUCUUGUUAGGGUUAGUGUUAGCAACGUCGUCAAUUUUGAGCCCCGUAAGCUCAUCUGAUUGUUAGGUUACGCUGAUAUAGGCUCUCAAGGCAUAUUAUUAUGUAGGAAAAAAAAAAGUUAAUGUCAAGUGUUAAAGCUUUGAACCUCUUUUACAUAUAAAUUUACAAAAUGUAGGAAACACUUUUAUGGUUUAUAAAGGAGGCGACAUACAUGAGUCUUAGUUAUGUUAUCAAUACAAAAAACGCUUGUCAUUCAUUUCUUACUUUAUGUCACUUUAUCACGAAUUCGAAUGUUAUAUAAAGGUUAUAUACAUUUCAAUGCAAUUCAAUGUAUGAUGUAAUAUCGAGAUUAGUAGUCUGAUACGUCUAGAAAAUAAAAACCAGGUGUCUGAUAAAAAAUGGAAAUCAAUCGAAAAAAUCGUCGGAUCCCGCAUGUGGGAGUUGAACCUCACUAAAAACUCCUGCCGCUCACAGCCGGCGCCCUACCCCAGACCGGGCCGGAGCUCAGUCGGGGCUAUUGAGACGGCGGAAUCACAUCUACCCUAACAAGAGUAAUAUUUCGCUGAAUCUAUCACCGAAUCGGAAUGGUGACCCAUUGAGAAGGACAAUGGGUUCCGGUGGCUGCACGUUCCUUGGACCCGAAACAUCCCGUCAUCCUUGCGGGAAAGGUCGCGGGAUAUAUGAUAUCCCGAAGGCAUUGGCCACGAGAAGGCUGUCAGUUGUUUACAACGAUCUUUUUGUGAACCGGUCUGAUGUUUUGAAAUACAAUAACUAAUUCUAAUGAGUGAAACGGUUAGAAACGUUUUACCGUUUACUUUCGUUAUUUUAAUUGGUAAAUAAAGGUUGUGAGUAGUUCAAACUUUUUAGUCACGUGAAUGUUUGGGAAUUGGAAUCGAAUCCACGAUCGUCAGCCCAGCAUUCUGAGCGAUCACCACUGCCCCACCGGAUCAGUCAAUAAUAAAAUAUUUAAAAUACCGAUGCAUUAAA
Bombyx mori (domestic silkworm) is the source of this 2882-nucleotide long non-coding RNA. RefSeq lists it as uncharacterized. The record is from RefSeq and is a predicted model, not a curated record. The transcript is spliced from 3 exons. NCBI's taxonomy places the organism in Eukaryota, Metazoa, Arthropoda, Insecta, Lepidoptera, Bombycidae.